This 1548-nucleotide ribosomal RNA is filed under the name metagenome. Its description in RNAcentral is "bacterial SSU rRNA". It matches the Rfam family "Bacterial small subunit ribosomal RNA". The record is from RNAcentral.
AGAGUUUGAUCCUGGCUCAGAACGAACGCUGGCGGCGUGGAUUAGGCAUGCAAGUCGAGCGGGAUCCUUGGGAUUCAAUCCUUCGGGAGAGAAACCCUUGGUGAGAGCGGCGAACGGGUGAGUAUCGCGUGGGCAAUUUACCCUUAAGUUGGGGAUAGCCCUUCGAAAGAAGGGGUAAUACCGAAUGUGGUCGCCCUCCGCAUGGAGGGUUAUCUAAAGGUGGGGAUCCUUCGGGACCUAUCGCUUAGGGAUGAGCCCGCGUCCCAUCAGCUUGUUGGUGAGGUAACGGCUCACCAAGGCUAAGACGGGUAGCUGGUCUGAGAGGAUGGUCAGCCACACUGGGACUGAGACACUGCCCAGACUCCUACGGGAGGCUGCAGUCGAGAAUCUUGGACAAUGCACGAAAGUGUGAUCCAGCGACGUCGCGUGGAGGAUGACGGCCUUCGGGUUGUAAACUCCUGUCAUGAGAGAAAAAUCGUUAGGGCCUUAACACGGUCUUGGCUUGAUGGUAUCUCAAGAGGAAGCCACGGCUAACUCUGUGCCAGCAGCCGCGGUAAUACAGAGGUGGCGAGCGUUGUUCGGAUUUACUGGGCGUAAAGGGUGCGUAGGCGGCAUCGCAUGUCGGAUGUGAAAUCUCACUGCUCAACGGUGAAACGGCAUCCGAAACUGCGGAGCUAGAGUACGUAGAGGAGAGCGGAAUUCUUGGUGUAGCGGUGAAAUGCGUAGAUAUCAAGAGGAACACCGGCGGCGAAAGCGGCUCUCUGGGACGAUACUGACGCUGAGGCACGAAAGCUGGGGGAGCGAAGAGGAUUAGAUACCCUCGUAGUCCCAGCCGUAAACGUUGUGUACUUGGUGUGGGGGGACAUUAUCCCCUUCCGCGCCGUAGCUAACGCGAUAAGUACACCGCCUGGGGAGUACGGCCGCAAGGUUAAAACUCAAAGGAAUUGACGGGGGCCCGCACAAGCGGUGGAGCAUGUGGCUUAAUUCGAUGCAACGCGAAGAACCUUACCAGGGCUUGACAUGCCCGUCGUACCCUGAUGAAAGUCAGGGGUCAGUUCGGCUGGACGGUGCACAGGUGCUGCAUGGCUGUCGUCAGCUCGUGCCGUGAGGUGUUGGGUUAAGUCCCGCAACGAGCGCAACCCUUGUGAUUAGUUGCCACUUCCGUCGAAAGACGGGAAGCACUCUAGUCAGACUGCCUGUGAUAAGCAGGAGGAAGGUGGGGAUGACGUCAAGUCAGUAUGGUCCUUAUGCCCUGGGCUGCACACGUGCUACAAUGGUCGGCACAGAAGGAAGCAAUAUCGCGAGAUGGAGCAAAUCCUGAAAACCGGCCUCAGUUCGGAUUGGAGUCUGCAACUCGACUCCAUGAAGUUGGAAUCGCUAGUAAAGGCGUAUCAGCUACGACGCCUUGAAUACGUUCCCGGGCCUUGUACACACCGCCCGUCACAUCAUGAAAGCUGACUGCACCCGAAGUCGCUGAUCUAAUCCCGCUUGCGGGGAAGAAGGUGCCGAAGGUGUGGUGAGUGAUUGGGAUGAAGUCGUAACAAGGUA